This 490-nucleotide ribosomal RNA is filed under the name uncultured bacterium. RNAcentral describes it as "partial 16S ribosomal RNA". It matches the Rfam family "Bacterial small subunit ribosomal RNA", at positions 30 to 507 of the family's 1533-position model. The record is from RNAcentral.
AUUGAACGCUGGCGGCAGGCCUAACACAUGCAAGUCGAACGGUAACAGGAAGCAGCUUGCUGCUUUGCUGACGAGUGGCGGACGGGUGAGUAAUGUCUGGGAAACUGCCUGAUGGAGGGGGAUAACUACUGGAAACGGUAGCUAAUACCGCAUAACGUCGCAAGACCAAAGAGGGGGACCUUCGGGCCUCUUGCCAUCGGAUGUGCCCAGAUGGGAUUAGCUAGUAGGUGGGGUAACGGCUCACCUAGGCGACGAUCCCUAGCUGGUCUGAGAGGAUGACCAGCCACACUGGAACUGAGACACGGUCCAGACGCCUACGGGAGGCAGCAGUGGGGAAUAUUGCACAAUGGGCGCAAGCCUGAUGCAGCCAUGCCGCGUGUAUGAAGAAGGCCUUCGGGUUGUAAAGUACUUUCAGCGGGGAGGAAGGGAGUAAAGUUAAUACCUUUGCUCAUUGACGUUACCCGCAGAAGAAGCACCGGCUAACUCCGUG